CUUCGGCCCCGUCGUGAUAGAACCCUUGCCUUUUUGAGUACCGUCCGUUUCCUCGGCAGGCUCGCCUGCCAAUGGGGACCCAAAACCAAACUCUUUUUAUCAUCUGUACCAGUCUGAAAAACAAACAAAAGUUAAAACUUUCAACAACGGAUCUCUUGGUUCUGGCAUCGAUGAAGAACGCAGCGAAAUGCGAUAAGUAGUGUGAAUUGCAGAAUUCAGUGAAUCAUCGAAUCUUUGAACGCACAUUGCGCCCUCUGGUAUUCCGGGGGGCAUGCCUGUUCGAGCGUCAUUACAACCCUCAAGCUUUGCUUGGUAUUGGACAUUGCCAGUUUCUGGCAGGUCUUAAAAUCAGUGGCGGUGCCAUUUGGCUUCAAGCGUAGUAAUUCUUCUCGCUUUGGAGAUCCAAGUGGUUACUUGCCAAUAACCCCCAAUUUUUUCAGGUUGACCUCGGAUCAGGUAGGGAUACCCGCUGAACUUAAGCAUAUCAAUAAGCGGAGGA
RNAcentral lists this ribosomal RNA (499 nucleotides) under uncultured Thelebolales. RNAcentral's name for it is "eukaryotic LSU rRNA". The stretch from base 136 to 289 matches the Rfam family "5.8S ribosomal RNA". Lineage: Eukaryota; Fungi; Ascomycota; Leotiomycetes; Thelebolales. The record is from RNAcentral.